Molecule: ribosomal RNA, 253 nt
Filed under: uncultured bacterium
Lineage: Bacteria
Description: partial 16S ribosomal RNA
Rfam family: Bacterial small subunit ribosomal RNA
Source: RNAcentral
UACGUAGGGGGCAAGCGUUGUCCGGAAUCAUUGGGCGUAAAGCGCGCGUAGGCGGCCCGGUAAGUCCGCUCUGAAAGUCCAGGGCUCAACCCUGGAAAGCGGGUGGAUACUGCCGGGCUAGAAUCCGGAAGAGGCGAGUGGAAUCCCUGGUGUAGCGGUGGAAUGCGCAGAUAUCAGGAGGAACACCAAUAGCGAAGGCAGCUCGCUGGGACGGUAUUGACGCUAAGGCGCGAAAGCGUGGGGAGCAAACAGG